AACAGAAUAUUUUUAUCAGUCAUAAUUAAUAUUCCCGAGUUGUACACUAAAAACCCUGUUCAGAAGCCACACGCCCCUCAUUGAGUUACUAAACCGGUUAAAACUCAAAAGAAAAUAGCCUUGAAACUUGAAUAUUGCCAUCAAAGGCCCGAAAAAUACGUAUUUCUAACUUUAGUAACGGUGUACGGGUUUUAGCAAACCGUCGAAAAAAAAACAUAAAGUUGUUAAAUCCUCGGGUAGAGGUCGCACAGCGGGGAGUAAAGUGUCAAAAUACAUCAGAAAACUCCAUGUGAACAAGCAAAGCUCGCAAAUUACGGGGGAUGAUGGAGUGAAUUAAUAUAUUGUCACCUUAGAUUACAGAUACAAAAAUGACAGUAAUUCGUUGUUUAUCCUACAAAACUAACUAAAUCAAAAUAUGUAUGUCAUUUUAUGACAAAUAAAUUUCAAUACGCACACUAAAAAUAAAUUGAAUAUUCAAAAUCUCAUUAAACACCGCAUAAUUCAUUCAAACUGGCGAGUAUGUUAAUUGGUGCGAUGCUGGCGGAUCUGAAAAAUGUGAAAACUUUACGAAAAACCGCCAAAUCUAUCAAUAGCCAGGAAUAAUUAACGACUGAUAAUGUUUUUUUCUACUCAAAAUAUGUGAGAAGCAGAAGCAGAAACAAAGAAAAUAUUUGACUGCCAUAGUUUUUAGGAACCCAGCUGUCAAAGAGAGACCAGAUGGGGGCCUUCCACUGUUUUGUAUGUUUAUGUAUGCAGCCCAAAAUGUUUGUACUUUGUCUUACAAAAAGCUUGCACAAGUCUUGGAAAUGUCAAAAGGCUAAAUAAAUCUACGGCUACUGACCAACAAGGCGCGGCUGUGAAAGAUGCGUGACAGGUAAUCGUGAUGACCUCAGAGCCUCCUCUCCCCAUUGCCAUUAGUCUGUGCAGACUGCAGGCAUCUGUGUUUCUUAAUGCGAAUUUAAUUUCUUAUUGUCUGCCGCUGCCUGCGAUUGAUCUAUGCACACGGAAAACACGCGGCUAAUACAAGAAGCUUUUUUGGUAGUCACAAUCCCAACUGGUCUGCAAUAACAGCAUGAUAUCAUUCGACCAAUAAUAGAAUAAACGGCUUCAUAAACCACCACACAAUGCACAAUAAUUUGCUAUUAAUUGUAAAGAGAGAUUACACACACAAUAGGGACCGGUUAUUCCUGCAUAAAACUCUCUGUUAUUAUCGAAUUUCUACAACCAAUUAAAGCAAAUAAAGUUCGAAUGAAUACAAACAG
Drosophila ananassae is the source of this 1262-nucleotide long non-coding RNA. RefSeq lists it as uncharacterized. NCBI's taxonomy places the organism in Eukaryota, Metazoa, Arthropoda, Insecta, Diptera, Drosophilidae. The transcript is spliced from 2 exons. The record is from RefSeq and is a predicted model, not a curated record.